RNAcentral lists this long non-coding RNA (1289 nucleotides) under Trifolium pratense (red clover). Its description in RNAcentral is "long non-coding RNA (TPRA_LNC000798)". Lineage: Eukaryota; Viridiplantae; Streptophyta; Magnoliopsida; Fabales; Fabaceae. The record is from RNAcentral.
CUCAUUUGCCUUUUGAUCAUGUUUUGGUUUAGUUGAAGAUAUAUUUUUCUAUAAAUACUUUCAACUCGUGGAACAAAAAGGAAAUGUUUUAGUUGAGUCAUGUUUUGGCAUGACUAAUUAUAAACCAUAAUUUAUGUUCCCUGGUCUUGUUUCUUUCCUUUCCGUUCUUGUUUCCUGGGUUGCAUUUCCAGUGUUCAAAUUCAAGUUAUUCUGUUAUUUCCGAUAAGAAACUAUUGAAUCCAAGGGGAUUUGUGCGUAUGAAUUGGAUAAAUCCUUAAGGGCGGUGAUCACAUGCCUCAGGUUUAUGAUUUUACAGUUUCUUGUUGUUUCCUCCACGGUGGCUGGCAUCAAUUACCUCAAUAUUAAGAUAAGUUCAUUAAUUUCUAUUCUAUUUUAUUUUCAUAUUUAUUUGAUACCUAUAUUCAUAUUUUUGUUUAUCAUUCAGAUUAUCCAAUUGUAUAACAACUGUAUGAGUCAAAGUAUUAUAUGAAAUGUAUAUAUAGUUGUAUUUCUUACUCUCCUGGGCCAGAUAUGUUGAUUGCGGGAUUUGAUUAGGUGAGAGACCAAUGAAUGGAACAAAAUAUUGAAAAUUGGUUUAUACUGUUAUUUUAAAAAUCCAACGUAAUUAGACAGUUCAAUUAAUUGAACCAGUAUUGUCUACGGUUUAAUAACAAUUUAAAACAGUUGAACUAUAAUUUUAAGGUCUUGCGGUUCAAUGUCAUGUUGGUCUUCUUAACACAUUGGCAAAUUUUGAUUGAAGCGGCCAUGUCAUACCUCUAACUAAGGGGGACCCUUAAAGAAUUCUAUAUAUACUCCCCUUAUCUUCUCUUCACUUCUCCCUCUCUCAUUUCUUCGGUCGUUUUCUUCUUUAGUUUUAGUUAUAUUAAGUUUAGUUUAACUUUUAUCAUUUCAUGUAUAAAUGGUCGUAUAGCCCGUCGUCGGCUACUCAUAUUAUUUUUAUUGAUGUUGUUUAAUCAUCAUGGUUGAAAAUAGUAUGUUAAUCGACGAAGGACUUUUUGUGGUCAAAUUGAAAACCAUUUGACUAGCUGAAACAAAUGUCAAUCAAAUGAAACUUUACCCCAAAAGAGACCCGCCCUGAUUUACUUUUAUCCCAAAACGAAAAGGUAGAGGUGAUUAUGGAAGAUUCAUCUACUUGAGAUUUGCUAUAGGGGGAUUUAUUGAAUGUCCCCCAAAAGUGGCAACAACCUGGCCUCCAACAUCUUGAUGAACUCCUAAAAUGAGAAGUAGAUGGCGGAUUCGAAAUUUAAGUUUUUGUUUUUUGAAGUACU